AUCGAGAGAACUCUCGUUAAGGAACUCGGCAAAAUGACCCCGUAACUUCGGGAGAAGGGGUGCUCUGUUAGGGUGCAAGCCCGAGAGAGCCGCAGUGAAUAGGCCCAGGCGACUGUUUAGCAAAAACACAGGUCUCUGCGAAGCCGUAAGGCGAAGUAUAGGGGCUGACGCCUGCCCGGUGCGGGAAGGUUAAGAGGAGCGCUUAGCGUAAGCGAAGGUGCGAAUUGAAGCCCCAGUAAACGGCGGCCGUAACUAUAACGGUCCUAAGGUAGCGAAAUUCCUUGUCGGGUAAGUUCCGACCCGCACGAAAGGCGCAACGAUCUGGGCACUGUCUCAACGAGAGACUCGGUGAAAUUAUAGUACCUGUGAAGAUGCAGGUUA
This 381-nucleotide ribosomal RNA is filed under the name Bacillus velezensis. RNAcentral describes it as "bacterial LSU rRNA". It matches the Rfam family "Bacterial large subunit ribosomal RNA", at positions 1689 to 2068 of the family's 2925-position model. The record is from RNAcentral. Lineage: Bacteria; Bacillati; Bacillota; Bacilli; Caryophanales; Bacillaceae.